Molecule: ribosomal RNA, 221 nt
Filed under: uncultured bacterium
Lineage: Bacteria
Description: partial 16S ribosomal RNA
Rfam family: Bacterial small subunit ribosomal RNA
Source: RNAcentral
AGUAAUACAUGGAACGUGUCUUCUAGUGGGGGAUAACUGCCCGAAAGGGCAGCUAAUACCGCAUGAGACCUGAGGGUGAAAGCGGGGGAUCGCAAGACCUCGCGCUGGAAGAGCGGCCGAUGUCCGAUUAGCUAGUUGGUGAGGUAAAGGCUCACCAAGGCGACGAUCGGUAGCUGGUCUGAGAGGACGACCAGCCACACUGGGACUGAGACACGGCCCAG